Long non-coding RNA from Lagopus leucura (white-tailed ptarmigan), 733 nucleotides. RefSeq lists it as uncharacterized. The transcript is spliced from 4 exons. The record is from RefSeq and is a predicted model, not a curated record. NCBI's taxonomy places the organism in Eukaryota, Metazoa, Chordata, Aves, Galliformes, Phasianidae.
CAGGCAGCUUCUGAGUAUCUCUAAGGAGGAGGCUUCACAGUCUCUGGGCAGUUUUGUGCUAGUGCUCUGGCGACCUAUGAAGCACUGAAGUGCUUUCUGGUGUUCAGAGGAAACUACUGUCUGCCACUGGGCACCAGAGAGAACAGCCUGGCUCUGUCCUCUUUGCACAAUUCUCUCUAGGAGCAAUGGAUGAUGCACUGAUGGUGUUCCUCUGAGCCUUCUCUCCCAGCUGAGCAGCCCCAGUCCCUUCCUCAUCGGGGAAGAGCUGCAGUCCCUUGAUCAAAGGCUCUGCCACCUCCACCUCACUGGGACCGUCGCAGAGGAUUUGCCUGGAGGAUGGCACUUCUGGCCCAGGUCACGUGAGGAGCGUCUCCAAGCUGCAGGUACAGCUGACUGCGUGCAUUUGAAGCGCUUCAGGCAUCCUUCACAGAGCCCCAUGCCUUGCCUACCAGCACUCUGCAAGGAGGAUGGAUCAGAAACUUUGAGCUGAGUGCCUGUUCAAAGAGAAUGAAGCAGACUUGCCAGCCAGCCCCUGGGUUACCUCCUUUCAUGGCAGAGAAGCACAAGAGGCGAACUCCACAGUUCCUGUGCAAGUGGGAUUUGCUCCAUCACAAAGACCUGGAUUAACUCAGUUUCAUGCCGUGCAGACUUGCAUGAAUGCAUCCACAUCUGAAAAGUGGCCCAAGGAAAGCUGAAAGCAAGCAGGGGCUCUUCCAACUGUUUUCACCUCUAU